UUUCCGUAGGUGAACCUGCGGAAGGAUCAUUAAAAAUGAAGCCGGGAAACCGGUCCUUCACACCCUUGAUUAUCUCAAAUUGUUGCUUUGGUGGGCCGCGCAAGCACCGGCUUCGGCUGGAUCGUGCCCGCCAGAGGACCACAACUCUGUGUUAUAUGUCGUCUGAGUACUAUAAAAUAGUUAAAACUUUCAACAACGGAUCUCUUGGUUCUG
Molecule: unclassified non-coding RNA, 213 nt
Filed under: plant metagenome
Description: partial contains small subunit ribosomal RNA, internal transcribed spacer 1, and 5.8S ribosomal RNA
Source: RNAcentral